Molecule: ribosomal RNA, 357 nt
Filed under: Triticum aestivum (bread wheat)
Lineage: Eukaryota; Viridiplantae; Streptophyta; Magnoliopsida; Poales; Poaceae
Description: partial small subunit ribosomal RNA
Source: RNAcentral
AUGCAGCUCAUUAUCCCCCACAGUCUUCGGAUUUCCUCCGGGAUCGUCUGCCGAAUCUUUAAUCAGAUUUAUAAACCAUGUCGAACAAACAAACUGGUAGAAGGAAAUGUUUACCAGAAGAAGCCUUUUUGGAUUCCUCUUGUUCGGCUACAUUGGCCUUCAUUUGGGCCUUACGUUCCUCCAGCUCUUGAGACAACUGGGCAUUCUUCUCUACAAGAACCUAUGCAUUUCAUGAUCCUUAAAUCAGUUGUGCCAUUUGUUUCAAGUCUCAGGGGCUACUACUACACAUACUUAUUAAAUUCUCUUACCUGUAUAUCCUUCACAUACUGGUCUGUUGCUCUGGCAAGUCCAUCUUGA